Molecule: ribosomal RNA, 456 nt
Filed under: Cylloceria melancholica
Lineage: Eukaryota; Metazoa; Arthropoda; Insecta; Hymenoptera; Ichneumonidae
Description: partial 28S ribosomal RNA
Source: RNAcentral
CCUGAGAAACCCAAAAGAUCGAAUGGGGAGAUUCAUCGUCAGCGAUGCUGGCACGUGUGCGGUUCGCGAUGCCGGGGACUUCGGUCUCGUGGCACGCGUCCGUAUGUUUUUUAUUGCCUGGUAUCGUCGGCGUGCACUUCUCCCCUAGUAGGACGUCGCGACCCGUUGGGUGUCGGUCUACGGGCCGGGUGGGCGCCUGUCUCGUGUGCGCUUCACGGCGUCACUGCGAGGCAGACCCCCGGCAUACCGACCGGCUGCCCGGCGGUACUCGCAAGGUAUCUGGCCGCAAAUAUUCGAACUGCGUCCGGCCCGUCGCAAGCGAGGCAAGUGUUUCCCGAAUGUACGGAUCUAAUGCCGUCAUCGGUCCUUGCCAGCUGUUGGUUGACGGUGCCCUAGGACUGGCUAUAAAAAUUAUGAUACCGGUCAGCGACGCUACUGCUUUGGGUACUUUCAGGA